Molecule: long non-coding RNA, 1440 nt
Filed under: Setaria italica (foxtail millet)
Lineage: Eukaryota; Viridiplantae; Streptophyta; Magnoliopsida; Poales; Poaceae
Description: long non-coding RNA (SITA_LNC000094)
Source: RNAcentral
UUGCGAAAAGCACUGUACAUUGGCCAUGUUAUGUUUUGAUUUCUUUUGCUAAUGAAUAUCAUAUAUCCCUUACAAAAAGGUAUGACCUUAUAUGCUACCCGGGCUAUAUGAAACUCUCCUUUGCUCACUAGCUCAGAAACAUGCAAAAAUUGGACAUGCUGCAUAUUUAUUCAAAUAAAAAGAUAAAUAAUCUUUCAAAAAAAAGAUAAACACACCAAAAAUUGUAUCUUGAUGUAAUAACUAAGCUUGGUUCAGUUCCUGUGUCCUCCCACUCGCACAUAGAGAAGAAACAAAUCCGCAAAAGGUCUUAUCUUUGCGGGGGAGGACAGCUUCCACUUCCACUUGGUCUCCCUGGAUUCGGUGAUUCACAAUCUGCAAAAUAACAGGGUAAACAAAUUCAGUUCUAAGAUGGAAAAAAAAAGAUCUUGCUAGACAGAGAGCGCGCUCUCUGUAACGCUAACACGAGAUCCAUUCAUGUUCAUUCCCCCUCUAUCCUCUAUGUGAUAGCUUGGACCCCACAUGUACCGUUCUUAUCUUUAUGUUCUCAUGUUCCAUCCAUUCGACAAGAGCCUGCCUCCUUCUUCCCCCGCACAGCCGCCAGACUCUGCCCACCGACAGCCUCCAGCUUGCUAGCGAGCGGAGCCCUUUCUCUCCCCCUCUCCUCCCUAGUCCCCUUCCCUUUCCCUCCUCCUUUUCUCCCCAUCCUUUGCCCCCGCCUGCUCCCACCAUCUAUGCCCAGCGGCGAUCUUGCUGCCACCCACCCACCAUCUCGGCAGCUCCACACCGCUCUUUCGGUCUAUUCAGGGUCCUCUUCCCCCGCCGCUGGCUGCUCCCACCGCUCGUGCCCGACGGCGAUCUCGCCACCGCCCACCAACCAUUCCCGCCUCAACGUCCAUGGUGCCCUUUGCGAUCUACUCUGGUGUCCUCCGCCCCUGCCACCGGCAUGAGCCACCGGUUAUCCUUGUCCUGCACUACCCCGGUCGGUGGCACCCUUGCCAACCCACCAUCACCGUGGGUCCGACGUCACCCCAGGCGCUCCCUCUAAGCCCAACAGGCAUAGUUCAACCUAGCAACCUCCAACCCUGAAAACCCUAACCCCGUGACCCUUGUCUUCUUCUCCUUGUGUGGCAGAAGAUAGAGGUGAGAAGAGGACUCUAGAUUUAUGCUUAAAUCAAAAGAGCCCUCUCUAUUUAGCUUUCCUCAAAAAAAAAAAAGAUAAAACUACAUGCACACGUUGAAUCAUUGGAAUUUGAAAGGCUCUUACAUAAAUCGGCUCCAGCUCUGGUAACGGUGAUGGCGCCCAUGGCCAUAAUAAGAACCGCCAGCCAGAAGCAGAGAAGGGUGCGAAAGUGAGCUGCUCCGGACCUCACGGCCAUGGUUUAAUUUGUGACUUGAUUAUUCCUUUUUGCUCACAAGCAGAAACGUUUGUUCAGAGUUGAA